This 117-nucleotide small nucleolar RNA is filed under the name Echinops telfairi (small Madagascar hedgehog). RNAcentral's name for it is "Small nucleolar RNA SNORA61 (ENSETEG00000025013.1)". Lineage: Eukaryota; Metazoa; Chordata; Mammalia; Afrosoricida; Tenrecidae. The record is from RNAcentral.
ACCCCCUGGUUUCCUGACCUAUCUGAUCUAAACACUUGUCUGCCUGGUCACAGAAGGAGGAGAAGUAAAACUGAAAUGGAUUUUAGUUCUUAUGUGACAGGCUGGUUUCAAACAAAC